RNAcentral lists this ribosomal RNA (374 nucleotides) under uncultured bacterium. Its description in RNAcentral is "bacterial SSU rRNA". It matches the Rfam family "Bacterial small subunit ribosomal RNA", at positions 524 to 898 of the family's 1533-position model. The record is from RNAcentral.
UACGUAGGGAGCGAGCGUUGUCCGGAAUUACUGGGCGUAAAGGGUGCGUAGGCGGCAAAGCAAGUCAGAUGUGAAAUCCCCGGGCUUAACUCGGGGGGUGCAUUUGAAACUGCAUUGCUUGAGUGCAGGAGAGGAAAGCGGAAUUCCUAGUGUAGCGGUGAAAUGCGUAGAUAUUAGGAAGAACACCAGUGGCGAAGGCGGCUUUCUGGACUGUAACUGACGCUGAGGCACGAAAGCGUGGGGAGCAAACAGGAUUAGAUACCCUGGUAGUCCACGCUGUAAACGAUGGAUACUAGGUGUGGGGGACAUACAACCUCUGUGCCGGAGCAAACGCAAUAAGUAUCCCGCCUGGGGAGUACGGCCGCAAGGCUGAA